UAUAUCACUGUAAACAUAACUAUGUAAUUUCAAUAAUAUUAAUAAUACGCAAUGAAAGCACUUGUACUGAUUAUAGACACUUAAUAGCGCGUUUUUAAAUUUCACAAGAUUGCGACCCCCCCGCCCUUUGCCUCACAAUGGUUUGAUCCACUGCCAGUUCUUUAGCUGGCAAGGUAAUAGAGGGCUCGUAUCUACUGUCCGAAAGGCACUCAAUGUACGUAACUGACGUGAGGCAGAGCAGGCAACAGAUGGCACACAGACAGCAGAGCUGGGGACAGAUAUGCAGGGACAGACUGGCAGAGACAGGGAGUCUCAGGAGACAGACUGUGAGUCAGUGAGGGUGGUGAAAGGGAAAGAGCCAAGGAGAGAGACUUGAGGACAGUGUCACAG
Salvelinus fontinalis (brook trout) is the source of this 390-nucleotide long non-coding RNA. RefSeq lists it as uncharacterized. The transcript is spliced from 3 exons. NCBI's taxonomy places the organism in Eukaryota, Metazoa, Chordata, Actinopteri, Salmoniformes, Salmonidae. The record is from RefSeq and is a predicted model, not a curated record.